This 1215-nucleotide ribosomal RNA is filed under the name endosymbiont of Camponotus abdominalis. RNAcentral describes it as "bacterial SSU rRNA". It matches the Rfam family "Bacterial small subunit ribosomal RNA", at positions 277 to 1479 of the family's 1533-position model. The record is from RNAcentral. Lineage: Bacteria; Pseudomonadati; Pseudomonadota; Gammaproteobacteria; Enterobacterales; Enterobacteriaceae.
CGAUCCUUAGCUGGUCUGAGAGGACGAUGAGCCACACUGGAACUGAGAUACGGUCCAGACUCCUACGGGAGGCAGCAGUGGGGAAUAUUGCACAAUGGGGGAAACCCUGAUGCAGCUAUACCGUGUGCGUGAAGAAGGCCUUCGGGUUGUAAAGCACUUUCAAUGGGGAAGAAUUUAAAAUUGCUAAUAUCAAUUUUAAUUGACGUUACCCAUACAAGAAGCACCGGCUAACUCCGUGCCAGCAGCCGCGGUAAUACGGAGGGUGCAAGCGUUAAUCGGAAUUACUGGGCGUAAAGAGUUCGUAGGCGGUUUGUUAAGUCAGAUGUGAAAUCCCUGAGCUUAACUUAGGAACUGCAUUUGAAACUGAUAAGCUAGAGUUUCGUAGAGGGAGGUAGAAUUCCAGGUGUAGCGGUGAAAUGCGUAGAGAUCUGGAGGAAUACCAGUGGCGAAGGCGGCCUCCUGGACGAAAACUGACGCUCAGGUACGAAAGCAUGGGGAGCAAACAGGAUUAGAUACCCUGGUAGUCCAUGCCGUAAACGAUGUCGAUUUGAAGGUUGUAACCAUUGAGUUGUGGCUUUCGGAGCUAACGCGUUAAAUCGACCGCCUGGGGAGUACGACCGCAAGGUUAAAACUCAAAUGAAUUGACGGGGGCCCGCACAAGCGGUGGAGCAUGUGGUUUAAUUCGAUGCAACACGAAGAACCUUACCUACUCUUGACAUCCAAAGAACUGUGUAGAGAUAUGCAGGUGCCUUCGGGAGCUUUGAGACAGGUGCUGCAUGGCUGUCGUCAGCUCGUGUUGUGAAAUGUUGGGUUAAGUCCCGCAACGAGCGCAACCCUUAUCCUUUGUUGCCAACGAGUUAAGUCGGGAACUCAAAGGAGACUGCCGGUGAUAAACCGGAGGAAGGUGAGGAUGACGUCAAGUCAUCAUGGCCCUUAUGAGUAGGGCUACAAACGUGAUACAAUGGCGUAUACAAAGAGAAGCGACCUUGCGAAAGUUAGCAAAUCUCAUAAAGUACGUCUUAGUCCGGAUUGGAGUCUGCAACUCGACUCCAUGAAGUCGGAAUCGCUAGUAAUCGUGAAUCAGAAUGUCACGGUGAAUACGUUCCCGGGCCUUGUACACACCGCCCGUCACACCAUGGGAGUGGGUUGCAAAAGAAGUGAGUAGUUUAACCUUGAAAAAGGAGGGCGCUUACCACUUUGUGAUUCAUGACUGGG